Small nuclear RNA from Molossus molossus (Pallas's mastiff bat), 121 nucleotides. Lineage: Eukaryota; Metazoa; Chordata; Mammalia; Chiroptera; Molossidae. The record is from RefSeq and is a predicted model, not a curated record.
GUGUUGUAUGAAAGGAGAGAAGGUCACUACUCCCCUUGACAAAGUUGGAAGAGGCUCUUGGGCAGAACAAAUACGGUUAAGGCAUUGCCACCGACUUUGUGUUAUAUAACCAUCGUAUUUU